This 543-nucleotide ribosomal RNA is filed under the name uncultured bacterium. Its description in RNAcentral is "partial 16S ribosomal RNA". It matches the Rfam family "Bacterial small subunit ribosomal RNA", at positions 355 to 914 of the family's 1533-position model. The record is from RNAcentral.
UGGGGAAUAUUGCACAAUGGGCGAAAGCCUGAUGCAGCAACGCCGCGUGAGUGAUGAAGGCCUUCGGGUUGUAAAGCCCUGUCUUUUGGGACGAUAAUGACGGUACCAAAGGAGGAAGCCACGGCUAACUACGUGCCAGCAGCCGCGGUAAUACGUAGGUGGCAAGCGUUGUCCGGAUUUACUGGGCGUAAAGGAUGCGUAGGCGGAUUUUUAAGUGAGAUGUGAAAACCCUAAGCUUAACUUGGGGACUGCAUUUCAUACUGGAAAUCUAGAGUGCGGGAGAGGAGAAUGGAAUUCCUAGUGUAGCGGUGAAAUGCGUAGAGAUUAGGAAGAACACCAGUGGCGAAGGCGAUUCUCUGGACCGUAACUGACGCUGAGGCAUGAAAGCGUGGGUAGCAAACAGGAUUAGAUACCCUGGUAGUCCACGCCGUAAACGAUGAGUACUAGGUGUAGGAGGUAUCGACCCCUUCUGUGCCGCAGUUAACACAAUAAGUACUCCGCCUGGGAAGUACGAUCGCAAGAUUAAAACUCAAAUGAAUUGAC